UACGGAGGGUGCGAGCGUUGUUCGGAAUCACUGGGCGUAAAGCGCGUGUAGGCGGCCUGCUAAGUCUGAUGUGAAAGCCCGAGGCUCACCCUCGGAAGUGCAUUGGAAACUGGCAGACUGGAGUCCCGGAGAGGAGGGUGGAAUUCCUGGUGUAGCGGUGAAAUGCGCAGAUAUCAGGAAGAACACCCGUGGCGAAGGCGGCUCUCUGGGACGGUACUGACGCUGAGACGCGAAAGCGUGGGGAGCGAACAGG
RNAcentral lists this ribosomal RNA (253 nucleotides) under uncultured bacterium. RNAcentral describes it as "partial 16S ribosomal RNA". It matches the Rfam family "Bacterial small subunit ribosomal RNA", at positions 524 to 776 of the family's 1533-position model. The record is from RNAcentral.